This 253-nucleotide ribosomal RNA is filed under the name uncultured bacterium. Its description in RNAcentral is "partial 16S ribosomal RNA". It matches the Rfam family "Bacterial small subunit ribosomal RNA", at positions 524 to 776 of the family's 1533-position model. The record is from RNAcentral.
UACGGAGGGGGCUAGCGUUGUUCGGAAUUACUGGGCGUAAAGCGCACGUAGGCGGUUUGUUAAGUCAGAGGUGAAAUCCCGGAGCUCAACUCCGGAACUGCCUUUGAUACUGGCAAGCUAGAGUCCGGAAGAGGUAAGUGGAACUCCUAGUGUAGAGGUGGAAUUCGUAGAUAUUAGGAAGAACACCAGUGGCGAAGGCGGCUUACUGGUCCGGAACUGACGCUGAGGUGCGAAAGCGUGGGGAGCAAACAGG